Molecule: non-coding RNA, 29 nt
Filed under: Mus musculus (house mouse)
Lineage: Eukaryota; Metazoa; Chordata; Mammalia; Rodentia; Muridae
Source: RNAcentral
UCUGGAAACAGCUCUGCCGCGAGAAAGAC